RNAcentral lists this unclassified non-coding RNA (295 nucleotides) under Hevea brasiliensis (rubber tree). Lineage: Eukaryota; Viridiplantae; Streptophyta; Magnoliopsida; Malpighiales; Euphorbiaceae. The record is from RNAcentral.
GGAAGAGGUAGGGAAAAAGAUAAACAAGGUGGAGAAAACAUAAAGGAAAGAAGAGGAAACAAAAGGAUAGUAAAAAGAUAAAUGAGGGGUAGAAAACAUAACAUGGACUGCCACAUGAAAGGUGGAUUUUGUCCCUGCAUGUGGGGAAUAAGUAGGCAAAAUAGACCCUACAGCUUGUACAUGCACAACCUGCUUGGUUUGCAAAUUACUUUUCCCCCCGUUUCAGCAUUCUUGAUAUGUACAUCAGUUCUCGUACAAGUUGAUUUCUUCAUCCAUCAUGAGGCUAUUAUCAAGC